CUCCAAGUUAUUAAGAGCCAACGGUGGAUGCCUUGGCGCCUGAAGCCGAUGAAGGACGUAGGCGACUGCGAUAAGCCAUGGGGAGCUGUCUACCAAGCUUCGAUCCAUGGAUCUCCGAAUGGGGAAACCCGACAUCAGUUAAUGCGAUGUCACCCCUGCCUGAAUAUAUAGGGCAGGAGGAGGGAACAAGGGGAAUUGAAACAUCUCAGUACCCUUUAGGAAAGGAAAACAACAGUGACUCCCCAAGUAGCGGCGAGCGAAAAGGGAAGAGCCUAAACCGAACCGGUGUGAUUAGCCUGGCGGCGUUGCCGGUUCGGGGUAGUGGGAGUGAUCAUCUAGGUUCGCCAGAGCCUAGGAGGAGUUACAAAGUUGGCUGGUUAGUCAAAGCAGUCUGGAAAGCUGCGCCACAGAGGGUAAUGGCCCCGUAGACGAAAACCUCCAACCUCCUUCGAUCACCACCCAAGUAGCGCGGGAUCUGGGAAAGC
RNAcentral lists this non-coding RNA (485 nucleotides) under Ferrimicrobium acidiphilum DSM 19497. Its description in RNAcentral is "Bacterial large subunit ribosomal RNA". It matches the Rfam family "Bacterial large subunit ribosomal RNA", at positions 1 to 433 of the family's 2925-position model. The record is from Rfam by way of RNAcentral. Lineage: Bacteria; Bacillati; Actinomycetota; Acidimicrobiia; Acidimicrobiales; Acidimicrobiaceae.